RNAcentral lists this ribosomal RNA (484 nucleotides) under uncultured bacterium. RNAcentral describes it as "partial 16S ribosomal RNA". It matches the Rfam family "Bacterial small subunit ribosomal RNA", at positions 30 to 507 of the family's 1533-position model. The record is from RNAcentral.
AUUGAACGCUGGCGGCAGGCCUAACACAUGCAAGUCGAGCGGAUGAAGGGAGCUUGCUCCUGGAUUCAGCGGCGGACGGGUGAGUAAUGCCUAGGAAUCUGCCUGGUAGUGGGGGAUAACGUCCGGAAACGGGCGCUAAUAACGCAUACGUCCUGAGGGAGAAAGUGGGGGAUCUUCGGACCUCACGCUAUCAGAUGAGCCUAGGUCGGAUUAGCUAGUUGGUGGGGUAAAGGCCUACCAAGGCGACGAUCCGUAACUGGUCUGAGAGGAUGAUCAGUCACACUGGAACUGAGACACGGUCCAUACUCCUACGGGAGGCAGCAGUGGGGAAUAUUGGACAAUGGGCGAAAGCCUGAUCCAGCCAUGCCGCGUGUGUGAAGAAGGUCUUCGGAUUGUAAAGCACUUUAAGUUGGGAGGAAGGGCAGUAAGUUAAUACCUUGCUGUUUUGACGUUACCAACAGAAUAAGCACCGGCUAACUUCGUG